GGUCAAGAAGAAAAGGGCACAUGGUGGAUGCCUAGGCGCUAAGGGCCGAAGAAGGGCGUGGAAAGCUGCGAAAAGCCACGAGUAGCCGCAAGCAGGCGUUGAUACGUGGAUACCCGAAUGGGGCAACCCGGCGGAGCAAAACUCCGUCACCCUAUGCUGAACACAUAGGCAUAGAGGAGGGCACCCGGGGAACUGAAACAUCUAAGUACCCGGAGGAAAAGAAAGAAACAUCGAACCCCCAAGUAGCGGCGAGCGAAAAGGGGCGAGCCUAAACCAGAAUUCUUCGGAAAUCUGGGGUUGCGGGACCUUCAACACGUGAUUGCUAGUCCUAGUCGAAGACACCUGGAAAGGUGCUGCACAGAAGGUAAAACACCUGUAGACGAAAGGACGAAGAUUGCAGAGGGAAUCCCAAGUACUGCGGGACACGAGAAACCCCGUGGGAAUCAGGGGGGACCACCCCCCAAGGCUAAAUACUCUUAGCGACCGAUAGUGAACAAGUACCGUGAGGGAAAGGUGAAAAGCACCCCGGGAGGGGAGUGAAAUAGAACCUGAAACC
This 556-nucleotide ribosomal RNA is filed under the name Desulforamulus aquiferis. RNAcentral describes it as "partial 23S ribosomal RNA". It matches the Rfam family "Bacterial large subunit ribosomal RNA", at positions 1 to 557 of the family's 2925-position model. The record is from RNAcentral. Lineage: Bacteria; Bacillati; Bacillota; Clostridia; Eubacteriales; Peptococcaceae.